RNAcentral lists this ribosomal RNA (464 nucleotides) under uncultured bacterium. RNAcentral's name for it is "SSU rRNA". It matches the Rfam family "Bacterial small subunit ribosomal RNA", at positions 26 to 518 of the family's 1533-position model. The record is from RNAcentral.
AGCCUGAACGCUGGCGGCGUGGCUAAGACAUGCAAGUCGUACGGAGGUAGCAAUACCUCAGUGGCGAACGGGUGAGUAAUGAAUCGUUAACGUGCCCCGGACUCUGGGAUAGCCGGUCGAAAGGCCGGGUAAUACCAGAUGAUAUACCUUUAUCGCAUGAUAGAGGUCUCAAAGGUCCGCCGGUCUGGGAGCGGGCGAUUUCGUAUCAGCUAGUUGGUGAGGUAACGGCUCACCAAGGCGACGACGCGUAGCCGGACUGAGAGGUUGGCCGGCCACAUUGGGACUGAGACACUGCCCAGACUCCUACGGGGGCUGCAGUAACGAAUCUUCCGCAAUGCACGAAAGUGUGACGGAGCGACGCCGCGUGUGGGACGAAGCCCUUCGGGGUGUAAACCACUGUCAGAGGAAAGAAAGUUCUGAUCUACCUCAGAGGAAGAGGCGGCUAACUCUGUGCCAGCAGCCGC